CCUUAUCGAGAGCGGCGGAGGGAAUAGGCCCUGUGAUGCCCGGCAACCUGGUGGGAUUUUGACGGAUGACUCCGGUUCUUCGCAGAAUUCUGUACAAGGUGCUACAUCCUACAGAAGUUAGUUCUGAAAGAUGAGG
This is a non-coding RNA of 136 nucleotides. It matches the Rfam family "SAM riboswitch aptamer (S box leader)". Rfam says of the family: The SAM riboswitch is found upstream of a number of genes which code for proteins involved in methionine or cysteine biosynthesis in Gram-positive bacteria. The SAM riboswitch acts at the level of transcription termination control.